Long non-coding RNA from Oncorhynchus masou masou (cherry salmon), 435 nucleotides. RefSeq lists it as uncharacterized. The transcript is spliced from 3 exons. The record is from RefSeq and is a predicted model, not a curated record. Lineage: Eukaryota; Metazoa; Chordata; Actinopteri; Salmoniformes; Salmonidae.
CACGGCAAGACUCAAGAUCCUAACCUUUGCUGUGAUGUAUUUCAUCCAGGAUUGGACUUUGGGUGUGGACUCAAAGAUGGAUAAUUUCCGUCAGCCUGGUCUUGAUCCCCCCAAACCUUUAGACAUGGCCCUUAAGUGUGUUGACGACAACGGCUGCACUGAACAAAUGUACAAUAAGGUGCAGAAGGAAUAUCUGGAACAUGAAAACAGCAAGACCAUUUCCGGAGACCUUCUCUCUUACCUCACCUCGCUCAUCAACUCAUCCCUGACCGCUGGCUACGUCCCUUCCGUCUUCAAGAGAGCGAGAGUUGGACCCCUUCUGAAAAAACCUACACUCGAUCCCUCCGAUGUCAACAACUACAGACCAGUAUCCCUUCUUUCUUUUCUCUCCAAAACUCUUGAACGUGCCGUCCUUGGCCAGCUCUCCCGCUAUCU